RNAcentral lists this small nuclear RNA (183 nucleotides) under Fukomys damarensis (Damara mole-rat). Its description in RNAcentral is "7SK RNA". It matches the Rfam family "7SK RNA", at positions 1 to 187 of the family's 331-position model. From Rfam's summary of the family: 7SK was discovered as an abundant small nuclear RNA in the mid-70s but a possible function has only recently been suggested. Two independent studies have found that 7SK RNA binds the CDK9/cyclin T complex (known as elongation factor P-TEFb). Lineage: Eukaryota; Metazoa; Chordata; Mammalia; Rodentia; Bathyergidae. The record is from Rfam by way of RNAcentral.
GGAUGUGUGAGCCAUCGUAGCUACAAAAUCUGCCACAUCACUGAUUUCCAGGGUUGGUUGAGCUUAUCUGGCUCACUGGGCAGGUGAUCCUCACUGCUCCAUGUGCAUCCCUUCCAAAAUUUCAUAUCCAGUUUGUUGAAGGAGACAAUUUUCCCUGAUAGAGGAGGAUUGUUUUUCAGAAGG